UGCUAGUCGCGCGGGUUUAGACCCGCGGCGUAUAGCUCAGUAACACGUGGCCAAACUACCCUACAGACGGGAACAACCUCGGGAAACUGAGGCUAACUCCCGAUACGCGUCGACCGUUUGAACACGUCGACGCUCAAACGCUCCGGCGCUGUAGGAUGUGGCUGCGGCCGAUUAGGUAGACGGUGGGGUAACGGCCCACCGUGCCAAUAAUCGGUACGGGUUGUGAGAGCAAGAGCCCGGAGACGGAAUCUGAGACAAGAUUCCGGGCCCUACGGGGCGCAGCAGGCGCGAAACCUUUGCACUGCACGCCAGUGCGAUAAGGGGACCCCGAGUGAAAGGGCAUAUCGCCCUUUCUUUUCUGAACCGUAGGGAGGUUCAGGAACAAGAGCUGGGCAAGACCGGUGCCAGCCGCCGCGGUAAUACCGGCAGCUCGAGUGAUGACCGAUCUUAUUGGGCCUAAAGCGUCCGUAGCUGGCCGCGCAAGUCCGUCGGGAAAUCCACCCGCUUAACGGGUGGGCGUCCGGCGGAAACUGUGCGGCUUGGGACAGGAAGGCUCGAGGGGUACGUUCGGGGUAGGAGUGAAAUCCCGUAAUCCUGAACGGACCGCCGAUGGCGAAAGCACCUCGAGAGGACUGAUCCGACAGUGAGGGACGAAAGCUGGGGUCUCGAACCGGAUUAGAUACCCGGGUAGUCCCAGCCGUAAACGAUGUUCACUAGGUGUGUCACUCACUACG
RNAcentral lists this ribosomal RNA (734 nucleotides) under uncultured archaeon. RNAcentral describes it as "bacterial SSU rRNA". It matches the Rfam family "Archaeal small subunit ribosomal RNA", at positions 52 to 787 of the family's 1478-position model. The record is from RNAcentral.